UUUUCCCCCUCUUCUUGCUCUCUUGAUGUAAAGCGACUGACGACUUAGGGUUUUUGGGCGUGUGAUCAACAAAUCUCCUCAUCGUCCCCAGUAAGGAUACACCAUAUCGACUUCUUUUCCAUCUUUGGCUGACCUAUAAAUGACAAGGACAUAGCAAAGGAAAAUUCUGGUGAUUGGCGACUUUGGGAUGGCGACUAACAAAAAGCCAAUAGUGGGUUCUUCGUGUUCUAUGAUACUGAAGCGACUGGGGACUCAAGGUUGGUGAUUGACAACGACUAAGAAAAAAAAGAAUCCCCAUUAUUGGAGGAAAGGAGUUAGAUUUGUAAUGGCUCUUUGUGGAGGUUACUUCUCGUGGUGGUAUUGAGGAGGUCACUUAAAGCUUUUAUUUUGUUCUAUUCUUCUUAAUAAAUCUGAUGUCUGAUGUUUGUUCUUUGUUGUUUUGGUUGCGCACCUUGUUUUGCUUAAUGAAUUUUCCUUAUUUAAAAGACAUGGUUAAGGUAUGAGUAGUUCUUAUUCCACUUGUAAGAGAAAGUUUAUUGUAGGAUUAUGGCGGCUGACAUAAUAAAAUAGUACUUAUGAGUUGUA
This is a long non-coding RNA of Pistacia vera, 585 nucleotides long. RefSeq lists it as uncharacterized. The record is from RefSeq and is a predicted model, not a curated record. The transcript has 3 exons. NCBI's taxonomy places the organism in Eukaryota, Viridiplantae, Streptophyta, Magnoliopsida, Sapindales, Anacardiaceae.